UAUCAAUUUUGAAUUAAUUCAGCCCUUUCUUGAUUAAAAAAAUAGGGCAGCAAUAGUUUUCCAAUACAGAACUAUUUCUUUGGGGAAAAUGACUUUGUGAAGAAGGAAAGAGGUAUUUAAAGUUUUUAGAUAAAAGAGGCAGGAUAAUGUUAGCAAAGGUGAACUUUUGCUUGAUUUUUAUUCCUUACUCUUUCUUUUACGUACUUCUAAUUUUUUUCCUUCAUUGCAAUAUAAAAAUAGAUCUGAACAGUGACAGUAAAAAAUUAUAGUUUCCAAAGAAAGAUAUGUGGAGGAAUAUUCUUGGGUAACAGAGUCCAAGCACUUAUGUGUUCUUUUUUAACACUUUAAUUCUACAAAAAAAAAAGAAAAAGUGAAAUUUGAAAUGGCACUUCCUAGUGCAAAGAGAGAAAGAGAAAUAGAGAGCAAAAACUGUUAGCACAGAUGGUUAUAAACAAGGUUGAGGAUGCAAUUAACAGGCUAAAAUUGUAUGGAAUAUAGUAUGUCAGCAAUACAGAAGCUCUGGCAAGAGCAGUCAGGACUGAAUUGGCUUCACUAAUAAACUGUCCUUUUGCUUCCUUUCUGUCUACCUCUUAUAUCACUUUCCAUCUACCUCUUAUGUCACUUUCCAUUGCAAAAUAUAGACCUUUUUUAGUUAUUUGCACAUGAAUUCUGCUAAUCAGGAAAGGUGAUCCUUUCUGCAGCAUGUCAUUUCCUUUAAAGUAGCAGUUUGUCUUUAAGGAAUAGUUAAUCUUAGUUUGAAGCAUUCAGGUAAAAUUUCAGAGAAAAAUGUCACAUAAAGUAGAAACCAUUAAAGCAGAGGUCAUCCUGUUAGGAAAAAAAAUAAUCCACCAGAUAUUGAUUGCCUUCAAUGAGGAAAAUGCAAAUCUCAGUUUAACCUCUACAUUAAAAAAUUGUUGAUUGGCUAGAAAUUAACAUUGCAUGUGCUAGACAACAAGACUCUUGCCUUGUGACCUACUUUUGCUACUAAGAAUAUUCACAUUCUUUCAUUUUAGUGCUCAAAUAUCUAAAGUAUGCCAUGCAUUACAUACUGAAAAUCUUAACAAAAAUGGACUUAUAUUUGAAUGAUAAGAAAUAUGUUUUAUGUCCCAUAAAGAAGAGUUUCUCUAGAAUAUAGGAGGUUUGCUAAAUCUAGACAAGCAUAGAUUUAUUUUUAAUUUUAUUAGAAUUAAAGAGAUCCUUCAAAUUAUCCUGGUUAUUAUGUUUGUGACUGGUUAUCUAUGACACAAUAGGAAAGCAGUACUUUAAUUAUAAGUUCCCUCUGAAAUGCAUUUUUUCUUAUCUGUUUUCAUGUUAUAAAGUCUAGACAAAAUCAUUUCUGUGGAUCAUUUUACCAAAUAUUGUAAAACUACUAGUUUCAAGAGUUUUUACUUUUAUUUUUAUGGGGAAACAUAAAGUGUUCCAUGAUCAAGUAAGUUUGAGAAAUGUUGCGUACUAUAGUCUCCUCUAAUUUUUUUCCCAUUAGCAUAUGAAAGUUUCUAGUAAGUUCUAUAGAAAGAAUGUCUGCCAAAAAUAUUAUGAAAGCAGGAGUAAGACUGUAGAAGCAAACAGAAUCCAAAUUAUGAAGGAUCUUUUGGGAGUUUUUUGUCCUUUUGUCUUUUUAGGGCCACACCCAUGGCAUAUGGAGGUUCCCAGGCUAGGGGUCUAAUCGGAGCUGUUGCUGCCAAGCCUACACCAGAGCCACAGCAAUGCCAGAUCUGAACCACAUCUGUGACCUACACCACAGCUCAUGGUAAUGCCAGAUCCUUAACUCGCUGAGCGAGGCCGGGGAUUGAACCUGCAACUUCAUGGUUCCUAGUCGGAUUUGUUUCUGCUGCACCAGGAUGGGAAUUCCUGAAGGCUGUUUUUAUGCCUCUGAAAAGUCUGGGACUUUUUAGAAUGAGCAUAUUAGUAGCAACAUGAAGGAUGGAUUAGAGACCUAUUUAGGGAACUUUUUCAGUAAUCAAAAGAAAAAAACUAAGCAAAAGUAGUUACACUCAUACUGAAAAGAUGUAUAAAAAUUACAAGUAUGUGAGAAAGGAAUGAUAGGACCAGAAGACUGGCUGAAUGUUAAGGAUUAAAAUUCAAGAGUGAGUCAAGUGUAUGGUGUUGGUACUUAGUGGAUAUUAGAGCCACUUACUGAGAUCAGGCACAUUAAAAGGAAGCAUGAAACAGACAGAAUAAAAUAGAAAAUCUGUUUCAUAUAUGCUGAGUUUGAGUUUUCCACAGAAAAAUAAAAAAAAAAAAUAUUCCCAGUGUAUAGUUGGAUAUAGAACCAUGGAAUUCCAGAAAAGAUUACACUACAGAUGUGUACCUACAGGUAGGUGGUAAAAUCAUUGGAAUGGAUGAAGACACUCAGAGACAACAGUCAGAAUGUAAAAUACAGAGAGCACAACAGCAACAAAUUUGUAUUAGAUAACUUAGUAGACACUUCCGGUUGAAAGACAUAGGGUCAUAAACCUAAGUGUAGGGAGAGUAUCAAGGAGAAGGGAGUAAUUAUCAAUAAGACGGAAAGGUUAAGUAUAAUAUGCAUGAAACAAUGUGUGUUGACUUUAAUAAUGAAUCACUUGUUAAUGAUCGUGUCCAGCACAAUUUCGGUGAAACAGCAAGGUAAAAACCAGAUAAAAGAUUAGGUGGGAAAUGUAGAAGUGGAGAUAGCAAAUGUCAGCAAUUAUUCACCUAGGAAGGCCAGUGACAAGAUGGUAAGUAACAGAGACAAAGGUAGAGAAUAAUAUUUUGUUCCUCCUUUAUUUUAUAUUUAAGGUGGUGGGGAUCUUUGAUUAACUCAAAUUCAAGAAGAAGCAGAAAGGGAUAAGAUCUAGCAUGAUUUAUCUUUCAUGAUGACCGAAGGGAAAAUGGUAAUGAUAAAUAUGGAUAGCAUGUUAAGUUUAAUAUAAUUAUUAAUAAUAUUUCAUAACAUUGAGGGAUUUUCCGUCUGUUGGAUUUUAUAUUCUCUUUGAAUUGGAAGGCAGUUUCUGCUGCUAGGAAUGAAAAGAAUUUUAAGUCAUGGAGGCUGUAGGAAAGUCCUGAGGGUUAUCUAGUAGCCAUUCUGAGGAAUGGAUAAGUGACUAGGGAAUUUUAGGCUAUUGAGGACCCAUUUAAGUUAGGAACAAUGGAUUUAUAUUGACACCACACUAUUUGAUUGUAUAAUUUUCUCUGUAAGUGAUCAGUGGGCUGGAUGCAGGAAAUGAGAAAAUAGUUGGAUUGACCCAAGAUUAAGGUUGCAAGGAGUUGACAGGUUUGGUGAGAUAAUGUCUAAGUAAGGGAAUGGAAUAAAGAUAGAAAAAGGAUGGCAAAGAAAUUAGGAGGUUUAUAGUUCAAGCAAAUUCAUUGGCAAGUACAGUGGAAGCUAGAAUGUGAGAAAGGUUGGAAUCUAAGAAGUUAUAAGCUAUUUGAAAGUUAAGAUUUCAGAAGUCAAUCCAUAGGUCAUCAUGACUGGCUAUAAGGAGGUCAAAGGAGCUUGCAGAUGGAGGUCAUUACAGGUGGUAUGGUUAAACAACCAGUUGACCAUCAUGUUGGAUGUGUUAUCUGUAUGUAUACUGUGGUUGCCCUCAAUUAGAGUAGGAUUCAUUAAAAAAGAAAAAAAAAAAACCUGAUGCUUAUCUAUUUUGUGUAUUGUAGUUUGAAUUUGUUAAUCCCAUACUCUUAAUUCAUUCCCUCCCCCGUCUCCUUUUCCCUUUGGUCACUGUAAGUUUGUUUUCCAUGUCUGUGAGUCAGCUUCCAUUUUAUAAAUAGAUUCAUUUGUAUUAUUUUUUAUCUUCCACAUAUAAGUGAUAUAAUAUGAUAUUUAUCCUUGUCUGACUUACAUCACUUAAUAUAAUAUUAUUUAGGGCCAUUCAUGUUACUGCAAAUGGUACUAUUUCUUUUUUAUGGUUGAGUAAUAUUCCAUUACAUGUGCACAUUCGGACAUAUUAUAUCUUCUUAAACCAAUAUAUUGAUGGACAUUUGGGUUAUUUCCAUGUCUUGGCUAUUAUAAAUAGUGCUAUAUAGCACAGGGAACUAUAUUCAAUAUCGUAUAAUAACCUAUAGUGAAAAAUAAUCUGAAUUACUUUGCUGUACACCCAAAACUAGCAAAACAUUGUAAAUCAACUAUACUUCAAUUACAAAUUAAUUAACUAAAGCUGAGAGUCACAUACCAAAGAAUUCAGGACUUGUUGGAAAAAAAAAAUAGGAAGCAAGAAAGCAGGUGGUAAAAGAUUUAAAAAUAGAAAGUGACCUACCUGGAUAGCCAGAGCAUCAUGUACAUAAAGUUUUCCCCAGAGGUAGAGGAGGAAAGGUAGAAGGGCGCUGAGGAGAAAAGGUUCCAAGGCUGGUGGGGUAGAGGAGAUUGAGGAACCUCAUGUGAGAAACAGGAAAUUAAGGCAAGGGUUCCAGAGGGCAAAGAGAAGAAGCAGGGGGUUGGGUCAAAAGAGAAGAAGGCAGAGUAGCAGGACCAUAUAAGGAGGAAAAGAGGAGAGAGUACAUUAUCACAGGGGCUUGCAUUUUAUGUGGCCCUCCAGGAUGGCAGGGAUAGAAAGCAUGGUGAAUUAACCAGCUCCACGUUUUCAGAGGAAGUUCUAGACUUGUUACAAGGUGAGAACACAGGAAAUUUGGGGAAUGUGACAGUGGUAGACCAGUCCUUGCUGGGACCCAAUUCAGGGUUUACUGUUAUGUCUCCAGAUUCUCAUGUCUUCUCUAAUUGAGCUCGGCUACUUUUCAAUAUUGCAAUUCAUAACCUUCCUCUCCCUGUCUGCUAGACUCCCCUCUCCCAGUUCGAAUCUUAUCCCUCUUCCUCUUUACGUCCUAGAUCUUCUGAAGGGAAAUGCAUGUAUGUCUAUGAAGGAUAUUUUAAUGGCAGUGUCGGGGGUAAGGCCAACAUCUUAUCCACAUGGGUUAUUCUGCUUAUAAACUUGCCCAUGAAGUUCUUUUAAGAACUAGAGAUUUCAGAGAUAGAACCAGGUAUAGGAAGAUAGCAAAGAAAAUCAGUUCCAUUAGAAUUCAUAGUCCUAAGGCAAGAAGCAAGCUUCUAGUUCCUAAGUUCAUCCAUACCACUUCUUCCUGUAGUAACAAGUGAUACCAAAGGCAAGAUUAAUCUGUGCUUGUAGAAUUAAUCAUAUUAUCUUCUUUUGGAUCAUAAAGAAGAGGGAAAAAACAUAAUUAAUUUGUAAAUACAGUUAACAACCAGAAAAGGGCUGAGCUAUGUCAGUGUCCAAUCUAAAGUUGGAAUCUGAGAGAAAAAGCUGCCUGCACUCUGCCAGCAGUGAACAAAAGACAAAAUUCCAGAAGGUCUGCAUGGGUGGAAAAUGAUCAGAAUCAAAACAGACUUGGAUUAGGAGCUAUUUAGAGGUGCAUCAUUAAUGAGCAUGAACCUUAUCCAACAUCAGAAGCUGUUCAUCUUUUUAUUUACUCUUUUGUGUUUGUCCCCCUGCCCCACUUUAGUAGUGCAUUUUCUCUGUAUCUGGGUCUUUUAUGUGAUAAAUACUGCAAGUUAUUCAGAAAAUUUUAUAGAAAGGACUACUUCUGGAAGGAUCAUGAUUAUUUUGAAUUAUUUUGUUUAUCCUCAAAAAUCUCAUUAAAAUAUACAUACAAUGGGGACCUGCUGUAUAGCACAGAGAACUCUGCCCAGUGUUCUGUGAUAAUCUAUGUGGCAAAAGAAUCUGAAAGAGGAAAAAAAAUAUAUAUAUAUACAUACACAUAUUAUGCAUAGGGAAUAGUAUUUACUUAUUGCUAUAUACCAUUGUACAUGGUGCUAAUGUGGGUUUGUUAUAUUAUUUUCUUCUUAAUGUUAUUGUUAUUCAAGAAAGAGCAUAACUAUAGGGGAGAAUAUAUAGGAUCACUGAAUUUUUUAUCAUAAUAAAAUUAUAACAACACAUGAUUAAAAAUAAUUUCAAUUAGAUUUUAUCACAUGACUUUCAUAAAAGUCCUAUGAUUUUUGACAAAGCAGUUGUUUUGUCUGCAUUUCAGAGAGAGGGAAAUUGAAUUUUAGUCAAGUUUAGAGUUUUUCCCUGAGUGACAUAAGAAGUCAGUGCCGGGAGUUCCGGUGUGGCACAGUGGUUAAUGAAUCCAACUAGGAACCAUGAGGUUUUGGGUUCAAUCCCUGGCCUUGCUCAGUGGGUUAAGGAUCCGGCGUUGCCAUGAGCUGUGGUAUAGAUUGCAGAUGUGGCUCUGGCAUAGGCCGUCGGCUACAGCUACGAUUAGACCCCCAGCCUGAGAACCUCCAUAUGCUGUGGGAAGCGGCC
This 6215-nucleotide long non-coding RNA is filed under the name Sus scrofa (pig). RNAcentral describes it as "lncRNA (ENSSSCG00000059402.1)". Lineage: Eukaryota; Metazoa; Chordata; Mammalia; Artiodactyla; Suidae. The record is from RNAcentral.